ACCAUUGAAGCAGGAAACCGCGGCGACUCUCGGCGGAGACUGGCCAGUUUUCUCUUUUUCAUGCAGAAUCCUUGCUUAGAGAAAUUGAUUUAUAUCCGCAGCAAGGGUAAUAAAAAAUGCUUUCUUUCCUUCUCAGCCCACAGUUUUAGAAGAAAGCCGAAGAGUGUGGUCUACGGAGCAUGCUGCGCUUGCCAGGGGUGUGGACGCAGAGUUCAAGCACAGACAAAGGGCAGGCAGUGAUUUCAUACUUCUGAUAGAUUUUUUUAUUCAUGAGAGAGAGAGAGCAGAGACACAGGCAGAGGGAGAAGCAGGCUCCCCACAGGGAGCCCGAUGUGGGACUCAAUCCUGGACCCUAGGAUCCUGCCCUGAGCCAAAGGCAGGCACUCAACCACUGAGCCACCCAGGCGUCCCUAACUCAAAACUUUAGGAAGCUAACUGGCUAAAGGAAACAUGAAGACAGAAUCCUCUCCUUGAAUGUGAGGACAGAAGCCAGCAAGACAGAACACCCAACUAUAGGCCGAGAGGACUUAACUGCCAUGACCCAAAGCCAGUCUUGCAAUACCUUACUCAAAUCCAUGGCAGUGCUGGAGAUGGCAGCAAGUGCUGGAGAUGACUGCUGGUCACUUUGAAUCCCACUCCUGAUACCAUGUAAUAUUGAAAGGCAGAACUGCAAUCUGUAAAAUAAAAUUUGUACAUUUAUUGGGGGUCUUAGGGUUUGCAAUCUGGGAGACAUAGAGUCACUAAUAUCAGGUGUGCUCUGGAGAGACAAAGGGCAUUUACAUAAGUUGUUUUGAAUGAAAUGUGAUUGGUUGCUAGUAGUGCCAGGUGGAAAGUCCAUUUAUGUUAAAUUCUUCUUAAAAAGAUUUUAUUUAUUCAUUUAUUUUAUAGAGUGUGUGUACACCUGUGUGUAGGGAUGGGGGUGGAGUUAGAGGAAGAGAGAUUUUUUUUUAAAGAUUUUAUUUAUUUAUUCAGAGAGAGAGAGAGAGAAAAAGAGAGAGAGAAUGGCAUAAUAGUACCUAUCUGAAAGGGCAAGGCUGAGGAUGAAGAGCAUCUAGUCCCGUUCCUGGCAUCUAGUAAACUCUAUAUAAAUGGCAACUUCCAUGGUUACUCACACUGGGGUAUCCAUGAACAGAAUAUCUUUUUUUUCCCAAAGAUUUUAUUUAUUUAUUCAUGAGAGAGACAGAGAGAGAGGCAGAGACACAGGCAGAGGGAGAAGCAGGCUCCAUGCAGCCUGACG
Molecule: long non-coding RNA, 1237 nt
Organism: Canis lupus familiaris (dog)
Lineage: Eukaryota; Metazoa; Chordata; Mammalia; Carnivora; Canidae
Exons: 3
Source: RefSeq, a predicted model, not a curated record